Long non-coding RNA from Lytechinus pictus (painted urchin), 721 nucleotides. RefSeq lists it as uncharacterized. The record is from RefSeq and is a predicted model, not a curated record. Lineage: Eukaryota; Metazoa; Echinodermata; Echinoidea; Temnopleuroida; Toxopneustidae. The transcript is spliced from 3 exons.
ACACUAGAAAACGUAGGUACUUGAUAAUAUAGCUUCUACCCAGGAUUACAUAGUAUAAUGCCAGCUGUGCAACAAAAUUUUACCAUCAUAGUACGUGCAGUAGCAAUAAAUUAUUAUUUUAUUCUGAUUAAGGCGUGGAUCGAUCCCGGCUUGGAUAGGCCUACUCGUUUCGGGAUAAUACUGCUGGAUGUUGCGCUUUUCCAAGUGGAACAAGGGGCGAAAUAGCAAUUAACACGAGGAUUAUCAGUUGUUUUAACAUGAAUUCAACAGAACUCGUUCUGAGCUUGCAGUAGUAGGCCAAACUGACCGUAAGCCUCUAACAGUCAAAAGGUUUCUUCGAAUUGCUUGGAUGAUUUUAAAUGCAUUUUGACUUUCGGCUCAGGAACACAACCAGAUUACAGUCUGCGAAUGGGAUAUGGACGGACAAGACGGAGGUCGACAUGAAUACAAAAUGAAGAAAUGGUGGAUAAACUGCAGAAUGCUGUAAACAACUUUUCUUAUUAUCAUCGCAGCCAGAAUUCUAUUGACUGGUACGUUUAUGCUUCUACAAAGAGAGUUGAUACCAGAGAGAUGGCACACAUGCAAAACGAUCCGUCCUACCAAUCGCGUGUCGAUGCCGCUAUCUUCUGGAUAAUCCGCGUUGGGAUACCAGUCGUAGCUUUUAUUUGUAUCGUCGUCAUUGCUUUCCUUAUUUGCUUGUGUUGCCGGAAGAGAAAAACCG